UGCAGUCGAGCGGAUUUUGGAGGGCUUGCUCUCCAAGGUUAGCGGCGGACGGGUGAGGAAUACGCAGGAAUCUACCUAGUAGUGGGGGAUAACGUUCCGAAAGGAACGCUAAUACCGCAUACGACCUACGGGUGAAAGCAGGGGACCUUCGGGCCUUGCGCUAUUAGAUGAGCCUGCGUCGGAUUAGCUUGUUGGUGAGGUAAAGGCUCACCAAGGCGACGAUCCGUAGCUGGUCUUAGAGGAUGAUCAGCCACACUGGGACUGAGACACGGCCCAGACUCCUACGGGAGGCAGCAGUGGGGAAUAUUGGACAAUGGGCGAAAGCCUGAUCCAGCCAUGCCGCGUGUGUGAAGAAGGCCUUCGGGUUGUAAAGCACUUUAAGCGAGGAGGAAAGGUUGAAGGUUAAUACCCUUUAGCUGUGACGUUACUCGCAGAAUAAGCACCGGCAAACUUCGUGCCAGCAGCCGCGGUAAUACGAAGGGUGCAAGCGUUAAUCGGAAUUACUGGGCGUAAAGCGCGCGUAGGUGGUUAGGUAAGCGUACUGUGAAAGCCCCGGGCUCAACCUGGGAACUGCAGGACGAACUGCUUGACUAGAGUAUAGUAGAGGAGUGUGGAAUUCCCGGUGUAGCGGUGAAAUGCGUAGAUAUCGGGAGGAACAUCAGUGGCGAAGGCGGCACUCUGGACUGAUACUGACACUGAGGUGCGAAAGCGUGGGUAGCGAACAGGAUUAGAUACCCUGGUAGUCCACGCCGUAAACGAUGUCUGCUAGCCGUUGGGAUCCUUGAGGUCUCAGUGGCGAAGUUAACGCGAUAAGCAGACCGCCUGGGGAGUACGGCCGCAAGGUUAAAACUCAAAUGAAUUGACGGGGGCCCGCACAAGCGGUGGAGUAUGUGGUUUAAUUCGACGCACCGCGAAAACCCUUACCAGGUCUUGACAUCCACGGAACUUUCU
This 951-nucleotide ribosomal RNA is filed under the name uncultured bacterium. Its description in RNAcentral is "bacterial SSU rRNA". It matches the Rfam family "Bacterial small subunit ribosomal RNA", at positions 56 to 1001 of the family's 1533-position model. The record is from RNAcentral.